Molecule: ribosomal RNA, 465 nt
Filed under: Vreelandella stevensii
Lineage: Bacteria; Pseudomonadati; Pseudomonadota; Gammaproteobacteria; Oceanospirillales; Halomonadaceae
Description: partial 16S ribosomal RNA
Rfam family: Bacterial small subunit ribosomal RNA
Source: RNAcentral
CCUACGGGGGGCAGCAGUGGGGAAUAUUGGACAAUGGGGGGAACCCUGAUCCAGCCAUGCCGCGUGUGUGAAGAAGGCCCUCGGGUUGUAAAGCACUUUCAGUGAGGAAGAACGCCUGGUGGUUAAUACCCAUCAGGAAAGACAUCACUCACAGAAGAAGCACCGGCUAACUCCGUGCCAGCAGCCGCGGUAAUACGGAGGGUGCGAGCGUUAAUCGGAAUUACUGGGCGUAAAGCGCGCGUAGGUGGCUUGAUAAGCCGGUUGUGAAAGCCCCGGGCUCAACCUGGGAACGGCAUCCGGAACUGGCAAGCUAGAGUGCAGGAGAGGAAGGUAGAAUUCCCGGGGGAGCGGUGAAAUGCGUAGAGAUCGGGAGGAAUACCAGUGGCGAAGGCGGCCUUCUGGACUGACACUGACACUGAGGUGCGAAAGCGUGGGUAGCAAACAGGAUUAGAUACCCUGGUAGUC